AGAAUAUUAGCCUUGUUUCGCCAUCCUAGGCUUCAUCAUUAUAGCAGGCUCUAGGUAAUGCGAAUAAACUAUUAUCCUGUAAUAUUACAUAUGGUAUAUACAAUUAUUUAGGGUUUUUUAUAUUUAUUUUGCUGUAAAAAUGUGUGAGAUUACGAUAUUGUAUUUAUUCGCAUUACCUAGAGCCUGUUCUACUGAUGAAGCCUAGGAUGGCGAAACAAGGCUAAUAUUCC
This is a non-coding RNA of Podarcis lilfordi (Lilford's wall lizard), 230 nucleotides long. NCBI's taxonomy places the organism in Eukaryota, Metazoa, Chordata, Lepidosauria, Squamata, Lacertidae. The record is from the annotation of a GenBank genome assembly.